GCUCCGGGGAGGCCCCAUGGCCUCCCCGGGAAAGCCCUGACGGCGCGGGAUGGGGUCGCGGCCCAUUAGGUAGACGGCGGGGUAACGGCCCACCGUGCCCGCGAUGGGUAGCCGGACUGAGAGGUCGACCGGCCACAUUGGGACUGAGAUACGGCCCAGACUCCUACGGGAGGCAGCAGUGGGGAAUUUUGCGCAAUGGGGGGAACCCUGACGCAGCAACGCCGCGUGCGGGACGAAGGCCUUCGGGUUGUAAACCGCUUUCAGCAGGGAAGACUUUGACGGUACCUGCAGAAGAAGCUCCGGCUAACUACGUGCCAGCAGCCGCGGUAAUACGUAGGGGGCGAGCGUUAUCCGGAUUCAUUGGGCGUAAAGCGCGCGUAGGCGGCCGCCUAAGCGGAACCUCUAAUCCCGGGGCUCAACCUCGGGCCGGGUUCCGGACUGGGCGGCUCGAGUGCGGUAGAGGCAGGCGGAAUUCCCGGUGUAGCGGUGGAAUGCGCAGAUAUCGGGAAGAACACCGAUGGCGAAGGCAGCCUGCUGGGCCGCCACUGACGCUGAGGCGCGAAAGCUGGGGGAGCGAACAGGAUUAGAUACCCUGGUAGUCCCAGCCGUAAACGAUGGACGCUAGGUGUGGGGGGACCAUCCCCCCGUGCCGCAGCCAACGCAUUAAGCGUCCCGCCUGGGGAGUACGGCCGCAAGGCUAAAACUCAAAGGAAUUGACGGGGGCCCGCACAAGCAGCGGAGCAUGUGGCUUAAUUCGAAGCAACGCGAAGAACCUUACCAGGGCUUGACAUGCGAGUGAAGCCGCGGAGACGCGGUGGCCGAGAGGAGCUCGCGCAGGUGGUGCAUGGCUGUCGUCAGCUCGUGUCGUGAGAUGUUGGGUUAAGUCCCGCAACGAGCGCAACCCCCGUCCCGUGUUGCCAGCAUUCAGUUGGGGACUCGCGGGAGACUGCCGGCGUCAAGCCGGAGGAAGGUGGGGACGACGUCAAGUCAUCAUGCCCCUUAUGCCCUGGGCUGCACACGUGCUACAAUGGCCGGUACAGAGGGUUGCCACCCCGCGAGGGGGAGCGGAUCCCGGAAAGCCGGUCCCAGUUCGGAUCGCAGGCUGCAACCCGCCUGCGUGAAGU
Molecule: ribosomal RNA, 1124 nt
Filed under: human gut metagenome
Description: bacterial SSU rRNA
Rfam family: Bacterial small subunit ribosomal RNA
Source: RNAcentral